CAGCCGCCGCGGUAAAACGUAGGUGGCAAGCGUUGUCCGGAAUUAUUGGGCGUAAAGGGCUCGCAGGCGGUCUCUUAAGUCUGAUGUGAAAGCCCCCGGCUCAACCGGGGAGGGUCAUUGGAAACUGGGAAACUUGAGUGCAGAAGAGGAGAGUGGAAUUCCACGUGUAGCGGUGAAAUGCGUAGAGAUGUGGAGGAACACCAGUGGCGAAGGCGACUCUCUGGUCUGUAACUGACGCUGAGGAGCGAAAGCGUGGGGAGCGAACAGGAUUAGAGACCCCUGUAGUCCCUGUCUCUUAUAC
RNAcentral lists this ribosomal RNA (301 nucleotides) under uncultured bacterium. Its description in RNAcentral is "partial 16S ribosomal RNA". It matches the Rfam family "Bacterial small subunit ribosomal RNA", at positions 509 to 807 of the family's 1533-position model. The record is from RNAcentral.